Molecule: ribosomal RNA, 256 nt
Filed under: uncultured bacterium
Lineage: Bacteria
Description: partial 16S ribosomal RNA
Rfam family: Bacterial small subunit ribosomal RNA
Source: RNAcentral
UAAUACAGAGGGUGCGAGCGUUAAUCGGAGUUACUGGGCGUAAAGGGCGCGUAGGCGGUUAAUUAAGUUGGAAGUGAAAUCCCUGGGCUUAACCUAGGAAUGUCUUUCAAUACUGAUUGGCUAGAGUACUGUAGAGGGUAGUGGAAUUUCCGGUGUAGCGGUGAAAUGCGUAGAGAUCGGAAGGAACACCAGUGGCGAAGGCGGCUACCUGGACAGAUACUGACGCUGAGGCGCGAAAGCGUGGGGAGCAAACAGG